RNAcentral lists this ribosomal RNA (520 nucleotides) under uncultured Glomeromycotina. Its description in RNAcentral is "SSU rRNA". It matches the Rfam family "Eukaryotic small subunit ribosomal RNA", at positions 569 to 1081 of the family's 1831-position model. The record is from RNAcentral. Lineage: Eukaryota; Fungi; Glomeromycota.
AGCAGCCGCGGUAAUUCCAGCUCCAAUAGCGUAUAUUAAAGUUGUUGCAGUUAAAAAGCUCGUAGUUGAAUUUCGGGAUUGACACAUCGGUCGUGCCUUAAGGGGUAUGAACUGGUGUAGUCAAUUUCUCACCUUCUGGAGAACCGCGAUGCCCUUAAUUGGGUGUCACGGGGGAACCAGGACCUUUACUUUGAAAAAAUUAGAGUGUUUAAAGCAGGCAUUUUGCUUGAAUACAUUAGCAUGGAAUAAUAAAAUAGGACGGCAUGAUUCUAUUUUGUUGGUUUCUAGGAUCACCGUAAUGAUUAAUAGGGAUAGUUGGGGGCAUUAGUAUUCAAUUGUCAGAGGUGAAAUUCUUGGAUUUAUUGAAGACUAACUACUGCGAAAGCAUUUGCCAAGGAUGUUUUCAUUAAUCAAGAACGAAAGUUAGGGGAUCGAAGACGAUCAGAUACCGUCGUAGUCUUAACCAUAAACUAUGACCGACUAGGAAUCAGACGAUGUUAAUUUUUAAUGUAACUCGUUU